RNAcentral lists this long non-coding RNA (7382 nucleotides) under Lactuca sativa (garden lettuce). Its description in RNAcentral is "long non-coding RNA (LSAT_LNC001962)". The record is from RNAcentral. Lineage: Eukaryota; Viridiplantae; Streptophyta; Magnoliopsida; Asterales; Asteraceae.
UUUAGAUUGCUUCGGCUAACAACCGCUCGAUCUCAAAUCGAGUAAAACAGGCUGUAUAUCGCUAAGCCGGAACUUCGAUAAAUCAUAACUUCCUCAUACGAAGUCAGAUUUGGGCGUUCUAUAUAUAUUCGGAAACCUCGUUUCAACUACUACAACAUUAACCAAAUAUAUUAAGUUUAUUUUACACUUAAAUUUUGACGCUUAUUUUUAUUCUUAAUUAAUCAAACCACAUAAUUAAGCAAUUAAGCACAAAACACAUAAUACUCAAAUAAUACAAUCUUAUUAUUUCAAAACGGGUUACAGAGGUUAACCUAGACUAUUACAUUGCUACAAAUGGCAAGCCCGAAACACAGGCGUUACAAUUCUCUCCACCUUAGAAUGAUUCCGUCCCCGGAAUCACACAUCAACAAACAAAUGCGGAUAGCGACUCAACAUGUCACUCUCCGUCUCCCAGGUGAGAUUCGGCCCAUUCGUGUGUUUCCAUCGGACAAGCACUAACCCAACCAUUUUGCGUCGCAACUUCUUAGUCUUUCGGUCAACAAUUGCCUCUGGUUCUUCAAUCAACCUUUUGUUCUCAUCAAUUCUCAAUUCAGAAAUUGGAAUUAUAUCGGGAACUUCUCCCGUGAACUUCCUCAAAUAACACACAUGAAAGGUGUUGUGAAUUCCAUUCAGUUCUUCGGGUAAUUCGAGCUUGUAAGCUUGAUUCCCAAUCCUCUGAAGGACUCUAAACGGUCCAAUAAACCUUGGACUCAACUUUCCCCUUUUACCAAAUCUUAUAAGUCCCUUCCACGGCGAGACUUUAAGCAAAACCGAAUCUCCAACCUCAAAAGUCAUCGGUCUUCGCUUCUUGUCAGCAUAGCUCUUUUGACGAUCUUGAGCUGCUAACAUUCUUUCCCUAAUUAUUUUCAACUUUUCAGCAGUUUGAUGAACCAUCUCCGGUCCCAUAAACUGCUUUUCCCCAGCCUCAAGCCAACAAGACGGCGUACGACACUUCUGUCCAUACAAAGCUUGAUAAGGUGCCAUCUUAAUGCUCGAGUGAAAACUAUUAUUAUAGGAAAAUUCUACCAACGGUAAAUGUUCAUCCCAAUUACCUAGGAAUUCCAAGGUACAUGCUCUCAGCAUAUCUUCAAGUGUUUGUAUUGUUCUUUCACUCUGACCAUCAGUCUGCGGAUGGUAAGCUGUGCUUAAACAUAACUUGGUACCCAUUUCCUCUUGUAGACUUUUCCAAAACCUUGAGGUGAAACGGCUAUCACGAUCCGAUACAAUCGUUAACGGAACACCGUGAAGCCUCACAAUUUCCUUCACGUAAGAAUUCGCAAGCUUUUCCAUAGACCAUUUCUCCCUGGCCGCUAUGAAAUGCGCACUCUUAGUGAAUCGAUCAACGACCACCCAAAUCAUGUCGUGACCAUUCUUUGUUCUGGGCAGUUUAGUGACAAAAUCCAUAGCAAUGUCUUCCCACUUACCCAUAGGCACAGGCAAAGGUUCUAAACUCCCGUACGGUUUCUGAUGUUGUGUCUUGACUCUCGCACAAGUCACACACUCGGCCACAUACUUUGCAACAUCAAGCUUCAUCGUCGGCCACCAGUAGUAGGGUUUCAGGUCCCUAUACAUUUUAGUGCUACCCGGAUGAAUCGAGUACAUGGUCUUGUGAGCUUCUUCCAUCAGAAGAUCCCUAAUUCCUCCUGACUUAGGUACCCAAAUACGAUCUUGGAAUACCUUCAGUCCAUGACCGUUAGUACCAAACACCAACGUUUUACCCAAACGUUCCUCCUUUCGGUCAUUUUUCUCAGAAGCUUCCUCUUGAGCUUUCUUUAUACUUUCCACAAUGGUCGAGACAACUUCAAUUCUCAACGCUCUUGGCCUCUUCCUUUCAAGAUUGACCUUCCGACUGAGAGCAUCAGCAACAACAUUAGCUUUACCGGGGUGGUAAAGUAUCUCGCAGUCGUAGUCUUUAAGUAAUUCUAGCCAGCGUCGUUGCCUCAUAUUCAAUUCUUUCUGAUUAAAGAGGUAUUGGAGACUCUUAUGAUCAGUGAAAAGUUUGCACUUCGUGCCAUAGAGGUAAUGCCUCCAUAUUUUCAGAGCGAAAACUACCGCUGCCAACUCCAAAUCAUGAGUCGGGUAAUUCUUUUCAUGCUCUUUCAGCUGUCGAGACGCAUAUGCUAUCACCUUUUCUCUUUGGGUCAAAACACAACCCAAUCCAACACCAGACGCAUCGCUAUAAACAGCGAAGUCUUCAACUCCAUCGGGUAGAGAAAGUAUCGGUGCCUCGCAUAGCUUCUUCUUUAACUUCUCGAAUGCUUCUUUAUGCUUCUCACUCCAAGCAUAAGUAGCUCCUUUGUGGGUCAAAGCUGUUAAUGGAGUAGCAAUCGAAGAAAAGCCUUGGAUAAACCUUCGGUAAUAUCCGGCUAAUCCUAAAAAGCUUCGAAUCUCCGUGGGACUUUUCGGUUGUUCCCACUUCGUCACAGCUUCGAUCUUCGCUGGAUCAACCAUUAUCCCUUCUUGGUUGACCACGUGACCCAAGAAUUGGACUUCACGAAUCCAAAAAUCACAUUUGGAGAACUUCGCAUAAAGCUUCUCCUUCUUCAAAACUUCUAACACUUCUCGCAAGUGUCUGCCAUGCUCCUCCUGGCUUUUCGAGUAGAUCAGAAUGUCGUCUAUGAACACUAUCACGGAUUUAUCAAGGAAAGGAUUACAAACCCUAUUCAUCAAAUCCAUGAACGCUGCUGGAGCAUUGGUUAGUCCAAACGACAUAACCAAGAACUCGUAGUGUCCAUAUCUAGUUCUGAAUGCAGUCUUCUCGAUAUCUUGCUCUCUUACUUUCAGCUGAUGAUAUCCUGACCUAAGAUCGAUCUUCGAGAAAUAGCUCGAACCUUGCAAUUGAUCAAACAGGUCAUCAAUCCUCGGCAACGGAUAUCUAUUCUUUAUUGUUGCCUUGUUCAGCUCUCUGUAAUCGAUGCACAUUCUCAUACUUCCAUCUUUCUUCUUUACAAAUAACACCGGAGCUCCCCAGGGCGAUGAACUAGGUCUAAUGAAACCUUUGUCCAAUAACUCCUGAAGUUGCAUCAUUAGCUCCUUCAUCUCCGUCGGUGCUAAUCGAUAAGGUGCUUUUGCUAUUGGCGUGGUUCCUGGUAACAAGUCUAUUCUGAACUCCACUUGUCUAUCAGGUGGUAAUCCAGGAAGAUCCUCGGGAAAUACUUCCGGAUAAUCACACACCACUGGAAUGCUCUGCAUCACCUUCUUUUCUUUCUUAGCAUCAAUCACGAAUGCUAAAUAUGAUGUACAUCCCUUGGUCAAACACUUUCUGGCUUUCAUUAGAGAAAUGAUUCCAGAAUUCACUCUGCGUUUGUCCCCAUACACCAUAAACGAAUCUUUUCCAGGCGGGUUUACUUUAACUAUCUUCUUCUUGCACAAAAUUUCGGCAUCAUUGGCGCUAAGCCAAUCCAUUCCCAAGACGAUGUCGAAACCAUUUAGUUCGAUAGGCAAUAAUUCCUCGAGAAACUUAUUCCCAUUAAGGUCGAUCAAGACGUUUUUCAUACGAUGGCUAACAGGUACAAACUUGCCACUAGCUACUUCGACUAAUAAAGCAUUAUUUAGUCUAUCAACAGGCAAAGCUAGCUUUCUACCAAACUCAUGCGAAAUAAAGGAGUAGUUGGCUCCAGAAUCAAACAAUAUAUGAGCAGGUAAUUCGUUUACGAGAAAGGUACCUGAAGCGACAUCAGCUUCAUCUUUCGCAGCCUCAAGUGUCAUCUGGAAGGCUCUCGCCUUCGGCUUUGGUGGAAUGUUGGGCCUAGCUGCCUCCUUCUUCUUCGGACAGUCUUUCAAAAUAUGCCCCUCUUCAUUACAACCAAAACACAUCCUUUUGUUGUUCGGACAUUCAUUGGCAAAAUGUCCAACCUUUCCACACUUGUAGCAGGUCACAUCCUCGCUACAUUUCCCAAAGUGCUUUUUCUUACACUUAUCACACCACUUUGCUUCGCCUCCUUUUCCUCCAAACUUUUUCGAAUCAGAUUUCGAAAAUUUGCUCUUCUUACUGGAACCAGAUGUUCCUUCAAACUUCCUUUUCUCACCAACCUCAACCUUGACGGUGGUUCUCCCCUUGAUCAUGUUCUCCACAGACUUGGCAGCCCAGAUAGCUGCCUCUAGAGUAAGUGCCUGACGUACCGGCACCUCGUACUCCCAUGGAAGUCCCUUCGCAUACCGAUCCACCUUUGUCAGCUCGUCUGGAACGAUACGCAAGGCAAACUCCAUCUUAUCGGUGAAGUUAUUGGUGUAUUCAUCAACUGACAUGCUACCCUUCGUCAAUGUCAAAAACUUAUUCUCCAACUCCAACAGAUUUUGAGCCGAGCAGAACUUGCGCUUGAACUGCACCAAGAACUCUGCCCAUGACAAUUGCAGUGGCUCAUUAGGGCUUAAGGUCUUCCCUAGAGUGUUCCACCAACGAACGGCUCCACCUCGGAAUUGUCGCACGGCAUAGAUAGUCUGCAACUUACCUCUGCAGCCACAUGUCAUAAAGGCUAACUCCAUUUCGGAGAUCCAAUCCAUAACCCCAAUCGGAUCCUCCUUUCCAUUGAAGGUCGAUGGUUUGCAAGUCAAAAAGUCCUUGUACUUGCAUCCCAUUCCAUCAUUCCUUCCUUCAUGGUUAUCUUGCCUAACUAUCGGUGGGUUGGCUGGACCAACAGACCCACUGAAGUUUCCACCUUCCGAGUGCCCUUCAUUUAAUUCAGGCUCUUCCACACGAAUCGACAGUUCUUCACGAUUUUGUUGAAGCAACCGUCUAGUUUCAUCCAUCUGACGAUCCAACAUCGUCUGAAUCAUCAAUUGCACACCAGCCAUGGUUAUUGGCUCAGGUGCUGCUGCUACGACAGGUAUUGGCUCAAUCACUGGUGGUUGAUUCCUGUUUUCGUCAGCAUUUCCAACUCCACUUCUUGUUCUCACCAUUUUGAUCUACACCCCGAAUAAGGUGAAAUUAGAUCCUCAAUCAUGAUAGAUAUUCAAAUCAUCCUUAUCACUCCGAAACGUUUACAUGCUAGUUCUAAUAUCGUAGACGUACGCUUAGAAUCCUACACACAUAAGGUUUCUAGAUCCGGUCGGCAACAGACCAUAGAUCCGAACAAAUAAUAUCAUAUAUGGCAACAUAUAACAUUUAGCACAUAAAGCAUUUUAGGCAACUUUCCUAAAAUAAACUAGUGCUCGUGUCUAAAACACAACAGACACACAUCUCAAAACUUCACUUAGCAUUCUAAGUUUAAGUCUAGAAAUCCUACAAAUUCCUAGUUCGCUUAAACUAAUGCUCUGAUACCAACUGUGACAUCCCCAAAAUCUCGGCCAGAAAAGACCGAUUUUCAUUUAUGCUUUUAAAUAUUUUCAGAGUAAAUCCUUUUGAUUUGAAAGAGUUGCGGAAUUUGUUCCCAAAAACAAAACAUGAUAAAACAUUGUUUACCGAAGCAUUUCAUAAAAGAAAUGUAUUUUCAUUAUAAUCAAAACUCGGGGUGUCAUGUUCCGAUACAGACCAAUAAGCAUAAACGAAUACAUUACAAGUCAUAUAACAAAUAUAAACAUAUGCAGACUUGUAAACAAAACAACUUGAUGGUUCAUCCAUCUCAUGCCCUUCCGCCACUACCUGUAAUACAAUUUAAAACUGAGUGGGUCAGGCUUGGGAGCCUGGUGAGCAUAUAGGGUUUUCAACCCACAAUAAAUAUCAUAUUUAAUUUUCACCAACCAACAAUAACCCAAUUACCCAUUCCCGUUAUUCUCACUUUAAUGUCCCUAAAACAACUAACAUAAGGGACCUAGUCUAAGAAUAUUUCAUCGGGGCGACAACACAUGCUUCGGGGGUACCUCAGCAAUAUAAGUCAAAUAAGGCAACCAUGAGGGGGAUGGAGUACAGCGAAUGAACACCCAAGUUCAUUAACACCUACAGGUGGCGAACCUGCUAAUGUUUCCACAAGACUGUCUAGAAUAGCCAGUGGUCGUCAUCUAAACUCCGCUAGAUGACUCAAUCAAACAACAACGAGGCCUCUCAUCUGUUUAUUACACACCAACUGUCUACCCAUGUUCUACCCAACAUAUUAGUAGAUAAAAAUAUACAUUUGUAUACAUAGUUUAAAGAAAACCUGUAUAGCAUGCUUUAAUCAACACAUAUAUCACAUAACAGAUGAGGCACACACACACAUAACACAUAUCUCAUAAAGAAAUAAGCAGAUCUAUAAGAUAGAAGAGAGUGAAUACUCAUUCACACAUAACACAACCAAAUAUAUACACAUAGCACGUAUUUUUAUAUAAAAUACUUCGUAUUAUUGUAUUAGAAGAAAUAACUACACACUCACUUGAUCAGAAGAUGAUCGGACAGCACUACGGCUUAUAGAAGUAGUAAUCCACAGCAGAUCUGGAAGAUCUUCUCGAAAAUCGAACUUCUCGCGGGCAGAGCUUCGACUCGGGAACCGCACUUUUCGGGAUCUUCGGGAUCUCGGGACUUGCCUCGGGGCUAGAGUAUGAUACCGGGACUUCGGGGUAGCUUCGGGGGUUUUUGCACAGAGCUUCGACACGAAAACGAGAGGGAAUUGGCAAAAAUACCCGGAACCCUCGCAUCCUAUUUAUAGGAGGCUGGAGCCUCGGAGUACGCGGGGCGUACUGCGUUACGCGGGGCGUACUGCCCAAAACGUCAUUGCUUACGUAUCCGAAGUGCUCGAGUGCGAGUGUCGACAUCCCUCGGAGUACGCGGGGCGUACUCGAGUACGCGGGGCGUACCUCGGAUCAGAUCGGUGACUCCUUCGGAUAAUGCUUCCGAAUUUUGAUUUAAAUAUAAAUACAAAAUGAUUAAUAAACUUCGGAAAUUCAUAACUUCUUCAUACGAACUCCGUUUUCGACGUUCUUUAUAUCCACGCGAAGGUGAGACCACGCUCUACGACUUUCGUUUAGACUCCGUCGGCUAAUUUUGACUUUAUUUUUAUUAAUUAUUUUUAAUAGGCCGGGACAGAAACUUUCGUUAUAAAUUCAUAACUUCUUCGUUUGACGUCCGUUCUCGCCUAACUUUUUAUCGUUUCAAUACCAACAAUGAGAUCUUCGAUUCUCAUUUAGAUUGCUUCGGCUAACAACCGCUCGAUCUCAAAUCGAGUAAAACAGGCUGUAUAUCGCUAAGCCGGAACUUCGAUAAAUCAUAACUUCCUCAUACGAAGUCAGAUUUGGGCGUUCUAUAUAUAUUCGGAAACCUCGUUUCAAAUACUACAACACUAACCAAAGAUAUUAAGUUUAUUUUACACUUAAAUUUUGACGCUUAUUUUAUUCUUAAUUAAUCAAACCACAUAAUUAAGCAAUUAAGCACAAAACACAUAAUACUCAAAUAAUACAAUCUUUAUUAUUUCAAAACGGGUUACAGAGGUUAA